RNAcentral lists this ribosomal RNA (589 nucleotides) under uncultured archaeon. RNAcentral's name for it is "bacterial SSU rRNA". It matches the Rfam family "Archaeal small subunit ribosomal RNA", at positions 1 to 624 of the family's 1478-position model. The record is from RNAcentral.
UCCGGUUGAUCCUGGCGGAGGCCACUGCUAUUGGGGUCCGAUUAAGCCAUGCAAGUCGAACGAUCUUCGGAUCGUGGCAAACGGCUCAGUAACACGUGGAUAACCUACCCUUAGGACUGGGAUAACCCCGGGAAACUGGGGACAAUACCAGAUAUAUAGAGGCGCCUGGAAUGGUCCUCUACUUAAAGCUCCGGCGCCUAAGGAUGGAUCUGCGGCCGAUUAGGUAGUUGGUGGGGUAAAGGCCCACCAAGCCGAUUAUCGGUACGGGUUGUGAGAGCAAGAGCCCGGAGAUGGAACCUGAGACAAGGUUCCAGGCCCUACGGGGCGCAGCAGCGCGAAACCUCCGCAAUGCGAGCAAUCGCGACGGGGGGACCCAAGUGCCACUCUUAACGGGGUGGCUUUAUGAAGUGUAAAAGCUUCAGAAUAAGGGCUGGCAGACCGGUGCCAGCGCCGCGUACCCCGGCAGCUCAGUGGUGGCCGUUUUUAUGGGCCUAAGCGUCGUACCGGCCUGAUAAGUCUCUGUGAAUCCCUAGCUUACUGGCGAAUUGCUGAAAUACAUCAGCUUGAGCCGGAAGUUAGGUACCCCGGG